Molecule: ribosomal RNA, 468 nt
Filed under: uncultured bacterium
Lineage: Bacteria
Description: partial 16S ribosomal RNA
Rfam family: Bacterial small subunit ribosomal RNA
Source: RNAcentral
GACGAACGCUGGCGGCGUGCUUAACACAUGCAAGUCGAACGGAAAGGCCCUGCUUUUGUGGGGUGCUCGAGUGGCGAACGGGUGAGUAACACGUGAGUAACCUGCCCUUGACUUUGGGAUAACUUCAGGAAACUGGGGCUAAUACCGGAUAGGAGCUCCUGCUGCAUGGUGGGGGUUGGAAAGUUUCGGCGGUUGGGGAUGGACUCGCGGCUUAUCAGCUUGUUGGUGGGGUAGUGGCUUACCAAGGCUUUGACGGGUAGCCGGCCUGAGAGGGUGACCGGCCACAAUGGGACUGAGAGACGGCGCAGACUGCUACGGGAGGCAGCAGUGGGGAGUAUUGCACAGUGGGCGGAAGCCUGAGGCAGCAACGCCGCGUGCGGGAUGACGGCCUUCGGGUUGUAAACCGCUUUAGCCUGUGACGAAGCGUGAGUGACGGUAAUGGGUGAAGAAGCACCGGCUAACUACGUG